RNAcentral lists this transfer RNA (84 nucleotides) under Echinostoma caproni. It matches the Rfam family "tRNA". From Rfam's summary of the family: Transfer RNA (tRNA) molecules are approximately 80 nucleotides in length. Their secondary structure includes four short double-helical elements and three loops (D, anti-codon, and T loops). The record is from Rfam by way of RNAcentral. Lineage: Eukaryota; Metazoa; Platyhelminthes; Trematoda; Plagiorchiida; Echinostomatidae.
AGCCUAGUAGCUCAACUGGUAGAGCGUACGUUGUGCAAAAGCGUAGGCGGUGUUCAUGAGUGGGUUCGAAUUCCACCGAGGCUA